RNAcentral lists this long non-coding RNA (234 nucleotides) under Mytilus galloprovincialis (Mediterranean mussel). The record is from RNAcentral. Lineage: Eukaryota; Metazoa; Mollusca; Bivalvia; Mytilida; Mytilidae.
GUUUCUUUUAUUAUUUCGAUUGAAUUAUAAUCUAUUAUGUCUUAUCGUUUGUCAAUGUUUCCUCGGUUUUAGUUUGUAAUCCGCAGAUUUGCAUUCUCUCAAUCGAUUUAUGACUUUUGAACACCGGUAUACUACUGUUGUCUUUAUUAUAUUCCUUUUCGGUGCUAUACAAGGCAUUUGUAACCUGCCUCCUAAAUUCAUCUACUUCACGAAUAAGAUUGACUGCAUUUAACA